GGCGACGAUCAGUAGCGGGUCUGAGAGGAUGAUCCGCCACACUGGAACUGAGACACGGCCCAGACUCCUACGGGAGGCAGCAGUGGGGAAUUUUGGACAAUGGGGGCAACCCUGAUCCAGCCAUGCCGCGUGUCUGAAGAAGGCCUUCGGGUUGUAAAGGACUUUUGUCAGGGAGGAAAUCCCGCUGGUUAAUACCUGGCGGGGAUGACAGUACCUGAAGAAUAAGCACCGGCUAACUACGUGCCAGCAGCCGCGGUAAUACGUAGGGUGCGAGCGUUAAUCGGAAUUACUGGGCGUAAAGCGUGCGCAGGCGGUUUUGCAAGUCUGAUGUGAAAGCCCCGGGCUCAACCUGGGAACGGCAUUGGAGACUGCAAGACUAGAGUGCGUCAGAGGGGGGUAGAAUUCCGCGUGUAGCAGUGA
Molecule: ribosomal RNA, 420 nt
Filed under: Chromobacterium sp. 13C(2010)
Lineage: Bacteria; Pseudomonadati; Pseudomonadota; Betaproteobacteria; Neisseriales; Chromobacteriaceae
Description: bacterial SSU rRNA
Rfam family: Bacterial small subunit ribosomal RNA
Source: RNAcentral